CCUACGGGGGGCAGCAGUGAGGAAUAUUGGUCAAUGGACGCAAGUCUGAACCAGCCACGCCGCGUGCAGGAAGACGGCUCUAUGAGUUGUAAACUGCUUUUGUACGAGGGUAAACGCAGAUACGUGUAUCUGUCUGAAAGUAUCGUACGAAUAAGGAUCGGCUAACUCCGUGCCAGCACCCGCGGUAAUACGGAGGAUUCAAGCGUUAUCCGGAUUGGUUGGGUUUAAAGGGUGCGUAGGCGGUCGGUUAAGUUAGAGGUGAAAUCCCGAGGCUCAACUUUGGAAUUGCCUGUGAUACUGUUCGGCUAGAGUGUAGUUGCGGUAGGCGGAAUGUAUGGUGUAGCGGUGAAAUGCUUAGAGAU
RNAcentral lists this ribosomal RNA (362 nucleotides) under uncultured bacterium. Its description in RNAcentral is "partial 16S ribosomal RNA". It matches the Rfam family "Bacterial small subunit ribosomal RNA", at positions 338 to 697 of the family's 1533-position model. The record is from RNAcentral.